Stegostoma tigrinum is the source of this 1514-nucleotide long non-coding RNA. RefSeq lists it as uncharacterized. The transcript has 7 exons. The record is from RefSeq and is a predicted model, not a curated record. NCBI's taxonomy places the organism in Eukaryota, Metazoa, Chordata, Chondrichthyes, Orectolobiformes, Stegostomatidae.
UAACCUGUUCUUCCUCUCAGCCAUCCCUUCCUCCCACCCCAAGCCGCACCCCCAUCUACCUACUAACCUCAUCCCACCUCCUUGACCUGUCCGUCUUCCCUGGACUGACCUUUUCUCUCCUCUCCACCUUCGGUCCGCCUCCCCCUCUCUCCCUAUUUAUUCCAGUUCCCUCUCCCCGUCCCCCUCUCUCCCUAUUUAUUCCAGUUCCCUCUCCCCGUCCCCCUCUCUGAUGAAGGGUCUAGGCCCGAAACGUCAGCUUUUGUGCUCCUGAGAUGCUGCUUGGCCUGCUGUGCUCAUCCAGCCUCACAUUUUAUUAUUUUAGGAGAGAGAGCUGUUUUGGUUUGUGAUACAAGAGACGAGGCUGUCUAUGCCUUUCACCCAUCGGUCGCUCUCCUCCUGUCCCUGCCUCUAUGCACACACUCUGCCAGGCAUAGUCUUCCUCCCUCUGUGUGUGUGUGUCUCUCUCUCGCUUAAGCUCCUAAAACCUAAGAUGCAUCGGAUAUAAAAACACGCACAUAAACACACACACACACACACAUCAACAAGCCAUGGAGAAAGAUCAGGAAUUACUGCAAGCUGUCAAAACCGAAGAUGUAGCUGCAAUGCAGAAGCUGUUGCAAAGGCCGAAACAAGGCAAAGCGAAUUGUGAUGUUGGUAACGGGAAAGCCUCCAUUGUUGGAGGACGAGAAGCCGUAUCCACUUGAAGCAGCAUAGGCUUUUGCGAUGACUGUGGAAACCACUGCUUAUGCCUUGCUUCAAGCAUUGUCAAGGAAUGAUAUUGACUACGCAACACCGAUUGCGAGGUGGCGAACGAUGCAACAGAACUAUGGUGGUGGAUUUCACUCGACGCAGGACACAAUCAUUGCCUUGGAAGCUUCAUCAUGAUAGGACAUUGCAUUUCUGAAGAGGGAAGAAGAAAUCAACAUGCAAAUUCAAUUCCAUGGUUUUGGAAGUCCCAUUGAGAACACGAUUCAUGUGCGCUGGCAUAAUGCUCUGACCGAGAAAGAAUCGAAGCUUCCGCUUGGAAGAAAGAUUCACAUCAAGUUGACUGGUCAAGGAAAUGGGACACUGACUAACCAUACAAUUAGACUGUUUUGAUGUGGAACCUAAAGAUUACGAGUCCCGUCCGUUUGACUCAGAGUUUGGUACCAUAGGUUGGUACGAUCUUCGUUGGAGAAGGAAAAGGGAUGUUCCAGAUACAGAAAAUAGUCAAACCAUUUACUACAAAGUCCGUUUCUGGGUGGAGUUAGUGGAACCGAAAAAGAUGUCUCCCUCACAGCGUUUGUGACAAAAGAAUUGCAUUGUUCCUUGGCGGCCUUUCAACAGAAGAAUAUUCAGAGAUUUCACGAGUGAUUCUGAUGUUGGUAACUGGAAAGCCUCCAUUGUUGGAGGACGAGAAGCCGUAUCCAAUUGAAGCAGCACAGGCUUCUGCGAUGACUGUGGAAACCACUGCUUAUGCCUUGCUUCAAGCGUUGUCAAGGAAUGAUAUCGACGAUGCAACACCGAUUGCGAGG